GGGUCAGUAGGUUGGUCGUGCCACCGGUACGUACUGGUCUAACUGAUUCCUCCUUCCUGAAGAACCGUAAUGCCAUUAAUUUGGUGUUGCGGGGAAACAGGACUGUUACUUUGAAAAAAUUAGAGUGUUUAAAGCAAGCUAACGCUUGAAUACAUUAGCAUGGAAUAAUGAAAUAGGACGAUCGAUCCUAUUUUGUUGGUUUCUAGGAUUGACCUA
This 216-nucleotide ribosomal RNA is filed under the name Glomeromycotina sp. Its description in RNAcentral is "partial small subunit ribosomal RNA". The stretch from base 40 to 216 matches the Rfam family "Eukaryotic small subunit ribosomal RNA", at positions 686 to 864 of the family's 1831-position model. The record is from RNAcentral. Lineage: Eukaryota; Fungi; Glomeromycota.